UCCACAAGGGUUGGGCCACCGGCUUCAGGUGUUACCGACUUUCAUGACUUGACGGGCGGUGUGUACAAGACCCGGGAACGUAUUCACCGCAGCGUUGCUGAUCUGCGAUUACUAGCGACUCCGACUUCAUGAGGUCGAGUUGCAGACCUCAAUCCGAACUGGGACCGGCUUUUUGGGAUUCGCUCCACCUCACGGUAUUGCAGCCCUUUGUACCGGCCAUUGUAGCAUGCGUGAAGCCCAAGACAUAAGGGGCAUGAUGAUUUGACGUCAUCCCCACCUUCCUCCGAGUUGACCCCGGCAGUAUCCCAUGAGUUCCCACCAUUACGUGCUGGCAACAUAGAACGAGGGUUGCGCUCGUUGCGGGACUUAACCCAACAUCUCACGACACGAGCUGACGACAACCAUGCACCACCUGUUCACCAGUGUCCAAAGAGUCCCGUAUUUCUACGGUGUUCUGGUGUAUGUCAAGCCUUGGUAAGGUUCUUCGCGUUGCAUCGAAUUAAUCCGCAUGCUCCGCCGCUUGUGCGGGUCCCCGUCAAUUCCUUUGAGUUUUAGCCUUGCGGCCGUACUCCCCAGGCGGGGAACUUAAUGCGUUAGCUGCGUCACGGAAACCGUGGAAUGGUCCCCACAACUAGUUCCCAACGUUUACGGGGUGGACUACCAGGGUAUCUAAGCCUGUUUGCUCCCCACCCUUUCGCUCCUCAGCGUCAGUUACGGCCCAGAGAUCUGCCUUCGCCAUCGGUGUUCCUCCUGAUAUCUGCGCAUUCCACCGCUACACCAGGAAUUCCAAUCUCCCCUACCGCACUCUAGUCUGCCCGUACCCACUGCAGGCCCGAGGUUGAGCCUCGGGAUUUCACAGCAGACGCGACAAACCGCCUACGAGCUCUUUACGCCCAAUAAUUCCGGAUAACGCUUGCGCCCUACGUAUUACCGCGGCUGCUGGCACGUAGUUAGCCGGCGCUUUUUCUGCAGGUACCGUCACUCUCGCUUCUUCCCUGCUAAAAGAGGUUUACAACCCGAAGGCCGUCAUCCCUCACGCGGCGUUGCUGCAUCAGGCUUCCGCCCAUUGUGCAAUAUUCCCCACUGCUGCCUCCCGUAGGAGUCUGGGCCGUGUCUCAGUCCCAGUGUGGCCGGUCACCCUCUCAGGCCGGCUACCCGUCGACGCCUUGGUGAGCCAUUACCUCACCAACAAGCUGAUAGGCCGCGAGCCCAUCCCAGACCGAAAAAUCUUUCCAACCCCCACCAUGCGAUGAGAGCUCAUAUCCAGUAUUAGACGCCGUUUCCAGCGCUUAUCCCAGAGUCCAGGGCAGGUUGCUCACGUGUUACUCACCCGUUCGCCACUGAUCCACCAAGCAAGCUUGGCUUCACCGUUCGACUGCA
Molecule: ribosomal RNA, 1380 nt
Filed under: Actinomycetes bacterium
Lineage: Bacteria; Bacillati; Actinomycetota; Actinomycetes
Description: Actinobacteria bacterium partial 16S ribosomal RNA
Source: RNAcentral